GGCUCAGUAACACGUGGAUAAUCUGCCCAUAAGUCAGGGAUAAUCUUGGGAAACUGAGGAUAAUACCUGAUGGAAGAUAUCUUCUGGAAUGAUUUAUCUUUUAAGGCACGCUUAUGGAUGAGUCGGCGGCUGAUUAGGUUGUUGGAGAGGUUAAGGCUCACCAAGCCUUAGAUCAUUAGGGGCCGCGAGAGCGGGAGCCCCCGGAAGGACACUGAGAUACUGGUCCUAGCCCUACGGGGUGCAGCAGGCGCGAAACCCUUUACAAUGCACGAAAGUGUAUAAGGGAAUCCCAGUGCUUACACAUUGUGUUGGCUUUUGUCAAGGUAAAUUCCUUGCAGAAUAAGUGGUGGGAACUGGUGCCAGCAGCCGCGGUAACACCAGCGCACGAGUGGCAAACGUUUUUAUUGGGCCUAAAGCAUCCGUAGCUGGUUUAAUAAAUCUUUUGUGAAAUUGUCAGGCUCAACCUGAAAAAUGCAAAAGACACUGUUAAACUUGGAACCGGGAGGAGUUAGAGGUAUUCUGUGGCUACCGGUAAAAUGCUAUAAUCCUCAGAGGACCACCUGUGGCGAAGGCGUCUAACUAGAACGGAUUCGACAGUGAGGGAUGAAGGCUAGGGGAGCGAACCGGAUUAGAUACCCGAGUAGUCCUAGCAGUAAACGUUGCGAGCUAGGUGUUGCACAUUCUCGUGAGUGUGCAGUGUCGAAGCGAAGGCGUUAAGCUCGCCGCCUGGGAAGUAUAGUCGCAAGCCCGAAACUCAAAGGAAUUGACGG
RNAcentral lists this ribosomal RNA (770 nucleotides) under uncultured archaeon. Its description in RNAcentral is "bacterial SSU rRNA". It matches the Rfam family "Archaeal small subunit ribosomal RNA", at positions 87 to 871 of the family's 1478-position model. The record is from RNAcentral.